AUAUUACUGCUGCGGUUAAAAAGCUCGUAGUUGAAUCUAGUCGUGUCCGUUGGGUUUGUCGUUGGCGUUUAUUCGUCUCUGGCGUUAAUUCACGGCCGAUUUUUGCUGGUUUGCUGUUGGUCUUCGGAUCUUCGGUGGCUAGCGAGUUACUUUGAUCAAAUCAGAGUGCUCAAAACAGGCGAAAGCUUGUAUGAUUUCUCGAGGAAUAACAGAAGAGGACUUCGGUUCUAUUUGUUGGUUCCAGAAUCGUUUAAUGGUUAAGAGGGACAAUUCGGGGGCAAACGUAUCCUCGCGCGAGGGGUGAAAUCCGUAGACCGUGAGGAGACGACCAAUAGCGAAAGCAUUUGCCAA
This 351-nucleotide ribosomal RNA is filed under the name Rhabditis sp. 2 MK-2017. RNAcentral describes it as "SSU rRNA". It matches the Rfam family "Eukaryotic small subunit ribosomal RNA", at positions 604 to 961 of the family's 1831-position model. The record is from RNAcentral. Lineage: Eukaryota; Metazoa; Nematoda; Chromadorea; Rhabditida; Rhabditidae.